Rhipicephalus microplus (southern cattle tick) is the source of this 376-nucleotide long non-coding RNA. NCBI's taxonomy places the organism in Eukaryota, Metazoa, Arthropoda, Arachnida, Ixodida, Ixodidae. The record is from RefSeq and is a predicted model, not a curated record.
UCAAUCUGGGCAGUGAUACUUCUUUCAAGAUCACAGUACAAGAUGCACUGCGUCGUUGUAGUUUUGUUCUUUGGUAUAGCCUCAGGAACCGUCGACUACAGAGGCAGGGCUACCGUGAAAGAUGUCCUAGACUUUUUCAGUACUGGCCAACCUAUAGUUUUGGCAAGAAGAAGUUAUAAUCGUUACAUUGAUGAACUCGAGCCACGGUGUAUAAAGACUGUUGUCACAAAGCGCGAUAACACUUCGCUGUGGUUUAACCAAAGCUACAUAUACGGGAAAAAAGGCGUUGAAGAAAGCAUGGUAGGACAUGUAAUGAAGAAACCAGGAAUGGAUUCUGCACCGGUAAUGAUUGUCGAAAGAGCAUAGGAUUCAGAAA